This 115-nucleotide non-coding RNA is filed under the name chicken gut metagenome. RNAcentral's name for it is "THF riboswitch". It matches the Rfam family "THF (Tetrahydrofolate) riboswitch aptamer". From Rfam's summary of the family: THF riboswitch presents a pseudoknot that joins P1-P2 and the loop of P3 and two THF binding. The record is from RNAcentral.
CGAAGUAGGAAUCUAUGCGUUAAGUGUUCAUUGGAUGGGGAGUCGCCGUGAAACGAAAAGUUUCCCCGCAGACAUUGCGCGGAGGAAGCUUACGAUAUAUUUUCCGCACCCGUUG